GACGAACGCUGGCGGCGUGCUUAACACAUGCAAGUCGAACGGAAAGGCCUGCUUUCCCUUGUGGAUUGCGGGUGCUCGAGUGGCGAACGGGUGAGUAACACGUGAGUGAUCUGCCCCCAACUUGGGUAUAAGCCUGGGAAACUGGGUCUAAUUCCCGAUAGGACUGCAGGGUGGUGCCUGUGGUGGAAAACGAUUUUCUAGUGGUUGGGGAUGAGCUCGCGGCCUAUCAGCUUGUUGGUGGGGUAAUGGCCUACCAAGGCGGCGACGGGUAGCCGGCCUGAGAGGGUUGACGGCGACAUUGGGACUGAUAUACGGCCCAGACUCCUACGGGAGGCAGCAGUUGGGAAUAUGGCACAAUGGGCGGAAGCCUGAUGCAGCGACGCCGCGUGGGGGAUGACGGCCUUCGGGUUGUAAACUCCUUUCGACCGCGAGGAAGCCACCUGGUCGGAAUGGUGGUGACGGUAGUGGUAGAAGAAGCACCGGCUAACUACGUG
This 494-nucleotide ribosomal RNA is filed under the name uncultured bacterium. Its description in RNAcentral is "partial 16S ribosomal RNA". It matches the Rfam family "Bacterial small subunit ribosomal RNA", at positions 28 to 507 of the family's 1533-position model. The record is from RNAcentral.